CUCAACAAGUAGAGUUAUAUGAACGUUUCGAGAAACGCUCCAUGAGUGCAUUCCACAGUACUUUGUGGUCAUUACUUUUUGCACAGAUUGCCAUUGAAGGCUUUUGUCGAUGUGGCGCGUCAAAGACUUUGAGCGCAUGAGAUGUGAAAUCUCGGCAUCUAGGCUUGUUAGCCUGGGGGUCAAAACAUGUGGUUUAAUCCUUUCCAAUGAAAGGUUCCACAAAUACCAAGCGAAGAUUCGCCUUAGGCAUCGAAUACGGUAAAACUCAAAAGAGCAGAAUGUUAUAUUGCUCUUGCAUACAAAACCAAGCUGUUAUGAGACUCGAUAGAGGUCACAAACAAUACUUUUAAUGGUUUGUCUUUUGGAUUGAUCAUACACAAUCCGGAAAAGCCGCAAAUUGAUCAAACACAAUUCGGAAAAGGCCUCGGAUUGAUCAAACACAAUCCGGUGAUAGGUCGGGGUUGAUCAUACACAACCCGGACAUGGAAACAAGAGUGAUCCAACACACUCUUGACCCACGAAUAAAAUUCCGGGAUUUUUGGUACCUGCAAAUACACCGACCCAAGCAUAGAAUGGAGUAGAAGAAGGGGAGAAAGCACUUUAUCUCCCCCGAGGUUAUUGAACUUGGAAGAGUUUUAGGGUUGUUAAAUAAACAUACCGUAAACACUUAGAUGCUUGAUCGGAUGAAAAGAAAGCAGUGGAGUGGACGGCCGGGAAGCGACUGCGGCGGCGGCGGCGGCGGCCAAGGCAUGAUAACGUGAUGAAUGAUAAAGUGUAGAGACAAAAAGAUAGCAAGAGAAUCAUCAUCUUAUUCAUUGAUAAGAGUCCUUUAUAUAGGGAAUUACACAAUACCAAUAUGGUAAGGAUAUGAAUACAUAGAUCUAGUCUAAUUACAUAUCCUAUUGGCAUAAGGCCAAGGCACACAGUAAAAAAUAUCUAGAAAUAUACAGAAUAUCUUAAAACAAGAACUAGAUUUAGAUUCACAAAGAUAGAAAAGAAAUUUUAAUAAAUUUACGAUAUUAAUAAAUUUAUGGUAUAAAGGCUUCAUUUGGCAUGUUUACUAACUAGAUCAUUAUUAAAAAAAAUA
Molecule: long non-coding RNA, 1087 nt
Filed under: Fragaria vesca (wild strawberry)
Lineage: Eukaryota; Viridiplantae; Streptophyta; Magnoliopsida; Rosales; Rosaceae
Description: long non-coding RNA (FVES_LNC004571)
Source: RNAcentral